RNAcentral lists this ribosomal RNA (497 nucleotides) under uncultured bacterium. RNAcentral describes it as "partial 16S ribosomal RNA". It matches the Rfam family "Bacterial small subunit ribosomal RNA", at positions 28 to 507 of the family's 1533-position model. The record is from RNAcentral.
GAUGAACGCUGGCGGCGUGCCUAAUUCAUGCAAGUCGAGCGAACAGACGAGGAGCUUGCUCCUCUGACGUUAGCGGCGGACGGGUGAGUAACACGUGGAUAACCUACCUAUAAGACUGGGAUAACUUCGGGAAACCGGAGCUAAUACCGGAUAAUAUAUUGAACCGCAUGGUUCAAUAGUGAAAGACGGUUUUGCUGUCACUUAUAGAUGGAUCCGCGCCGCAUUAGCUAGUUGGUAAGGUAACGGCUUACCAAGGCAACGAUGCGUAGCCGACCUGAGAGGGUGAUCGGCCACACUGGAACUGAGACACGGUCCAGACUCCUACGGGAGGCAGCAGUAGGGAAUCUUCCGCAAUGGGCGAAAGCCUGACGGAGCAACGCCGCGUGAGUGAUGAAGGUCAUCGGAUCGUAAAACUCUGUUAUUAGGGAAGAACAAAUGUGUAAGUAACUAUGCACGUCUUGACGGUACCUAAUCAGAAAGCCACGGCUAACUACGUG